This 901-nucleotide ribosomal RNA is filed under the name Neohendersonia kickxii. RNAcentral's name for it is "eukaryotic LSU rRNA". It matches the Rfam family "Eukaryotic large subunit ribosomal RNA", at positions 39 to 960 of the family's 3401-position model. Lineage: Eukaryota; Fungi; Ascomycota; Dothideomycetes; Pleosporales; Neohendersoniaceae. The record is from RNAcentral.
CAUAUCAAUAAGCGGAGGAAAAGAAACCAACAGGGGAUUGCGUUAGUAACGGCGAGUGAAGCGGCAACAGCUCAAAUUUGAAAUCUGGCGUCCUUGGGCGUCCGAGUUGUAAUUUGCAGAGGGCGCUUUGGCGUUGGCAGCAGUCUAAGUUCCUUGGAACAGGACGUCGCAGAGGGUGAGAAUCCCGUAUGUGAUUGCGUGCCUUCGCCGUGUAAAGCCCCUUCAACGAGUCGUGUUGUUUGGGAAUGCAGCACUAAAUGGGAGGUAAAUUUCUUCUAAAGCUAAAUACUGGCCAGAGACCGAUAGCGCACAAGUAGAGUGAUCGAAAGAUGAAAAGCACUUUGGAAAGAGAGUCAAACAGCACGUGAAAUUGUUGAAAGGGAAGCGCUUGUAGCCAGACUUGCCUGCAGUUGCUCAUCCGGGCUCCUGCCCGGUGCACUCUUCUGCAGGCAGGCCAGCAUCAGUUUAGGCGGCUGGAGAAUGGCCUCUGUCAUGUACCUUCUCUCGGGAAGGCCUUAUAGGGGAGGCGUAAUACAGCCAGUCUGAACUGAGGUCCGCGCAUCUGCUAGGAUGCUGGCGUAAUGGCUAUAAGCGGCCCGUCUUGAAACACGGACCAAGGAGUCUAACAUCUAUGCGAGUGUUUGGGUGUCAAGCCCGAGCGCGCAAUGAAAGUGAACGGAGGUGGGACCCUUUUAGGUGCACCAUCGACCGAUCCUGAUGUCUUCGGAUGGAUUUGAGUAAGAGCAUAGCUGUUGGGACCCGAAAGAUGGUGAACUAUGCUUGAAUAGGGUGAAGCCAGAGGAAACUCUGGUGGAGGCUCGCAGCGGUUCUGACGUGCAAAUCGAUCGUCAAAUUUGGGCAUAGGGCGAAAGACUAAUCGAACUAUCUAGUAGCUCCUCUG